Molecule: long non-coding RNA, 2473 nt
Filed under: Homo sapiens (human)
Lineage: Eukaryota; Metazoa; Chordata; Mammalia; Primates; Hominidae
Description: HSALNT0122156
Source: RNAcentral
UAACCAAGAGAAAAAUGAAAACAUACAUUUAUACUCAAACUUGUACAGGAAUAUUUAUAGCAGCAUUAUUCAUGUAUUAGUCCAUUUUGCAUUGCUAUAGAAGAAUAUCUGAGAUGGUAAUUUAUAAAGAAGUUUAUUUGGCUCACAGUUCUGCAGGCUGUACAAGCAUGGUACUGACAUCUGCUUGGCUCCUGGGAAGGCCUUAGGAAGCUUUUACUCAUGACAGAAGGUGAACAAGGAGCAGGCAUGUCACAUGACGAGAGAGGGCAGAACAGAUAGGGCAGGAGUUCCCAACAACCAGCUUUCAAGUGAACUAAUAUAGAGCAAGAACUCACUCAUUACAAGGAUGGCACCAAGCCAUUUAUGACAGAUGUUCCUAUGAUCCAAACACUUCCUAACAGGCCCCAUUCUCCAACACUGGUGAUCCUAUUUCAUGAGAUUUGGAGGGGACAAAAUAUCCAAACUGUAUCAGUUCAUAUUAUCCAGAAGGUGGAAACAAUCCACAUGUCCAUCAAUGGAUGAAUGGAUAAACAAAAUGUGGCACAAACUAUAAUGGAAUAUUAUUCAGCCAAAUAAAGGAAUGAAUACUCAUACAUGCGACAUGAAUGAAACAUGAAAACAAUAUGCUAAGUAAAUGAAGCCAGUCACAAAACACCAAAAUAUCACAUCAGUAUAUGAGGCUUAGAAAAUGUGCAAAUUGUGGUGAUGGUUGCAUGUAUCUGCAAAGAGACUAAAAACCACUGAAUUAUACAUUUUUGUUUUCGAGAUGGGGUCUCACUCUGUCGCCCAGGCUGGACUGCAGUGGUGCUAUCAUGGUUCACUGCAGGCUUGACUUCCCAGGCUUAAGUGAUCCUCCUACCUCAGCCUCCUGGGUUGCUGGGACGACAGGUGCGUGCCACUGCGGCUAAUUCUUGUAUUUUAAAAAAUAGAGACAGGGUUUUGCCUGUUGCCCAGGGUGGUCUUGAACUCCUGGGCUCAAGAUCUGAGGGCCUUGGCCUCCCAAACUGCUGGGAUUACAGACGUGAGCCACCACACCUGGCCUAAUUAUACAUUUUAAAUGGGUGAAGUGUAUGGCAUGUGAAUUAUAUUUUAAUGAAGUGGUCAUAAAUAACAAAAUAAAAAGCAUAUUGAUUUGAAAGGAUAAAUACAUUCCUGUUUUCAGGACAUAAAUAUCUACAUAGGAAAUCCAAAGGAAUUUUAAAAAUGCAUAAAGUUUAGCAAGAUCACAUAAAAAUCAAUCCCAUUUCUAUAUGCUAACAAUCAAUGUGUGAAUGCCAAAAUUAAGCACUACACCACUUACAAUUGCUCCAAAAUCAUGACUUAGGGGUGUGUGUGUAUAUACGUGUAUAUAUACAUAUAUACACACAUAUAUACUUAUAUACACAUGUACAUAUAUAUACACACACACACACACACAUAUAUAUUUUUUGAGACAGAGUCUUGCUCUGUUACCCAGGCUGGAGUGCAGUGGCACAAUCUUAACUCACUGCAGCCUCCACCUCCCGGGUUCAAGUGAUUCACCUGCCUCAGCCUCCUGAGUAGCUGGGAUUACAGGUGCCUGUCAUCAUGCCCGACUAAUUUUUAUAUUUUUAGUAGAGACAGGGUUUCACAAUGUUGGCCAGGUUGGUCUUGAAUUCCUGGCCUCAGGCGAUUCGCCCGCCCCAGCCUCCCUAAGUGCUGGGAUUACAGGCGUGAUCCCACCACACCUGGCCGACUUAGGUAAUAUAAAACAAAAACUACAGGCUGGGUGUGCCUGAUGGUGCCCAGUGAAGCCAGCACAAACUACCCCAAUGCUUGGGUGAGUGGCCAAGCAUCAGAGCAGUGACUAGACUUUUUCUUUUUGGGGAAACAGCCUAGGGUUGGGAGCCUACAGUGCUGAGGGCUGUGGGCCUCUCCAUCUCAGCUCCACCCCACUGUCCUACUCUCUGUUCUGUAUGGCUGGAGGCAACCCAGUUCCCUGACUGCUAUUUAGUCAGGUUCUGCCAAUAGGUGUCUCUAAGGAGAGGCUGGAAGGUAGAAAGCUUGUUGCCUCCCAGCACCUGGUAAUCCCCGCAGCAGCAGGGAGAAAGCCUCCCAGGAUGGCUGUGGUUCAGUAGCCACAGCUCCAUCAGAACCCCCAGCCAUGCACUGAAUCUCCAAUCAGCUUCCCUGGGAAGCUCCUCUGCUCUGGAGGUUCAGAAUUCUAGGACUCCACCUGCCUGCUGGGGCUGAUACAGACCCCUACGCAAGAGGCCGGCAUAUGUGAAUAAGCACUCAUGGAGGGAAGAAGCUGGGAGAGACAGGCAGGUAACAACCCAGGUCUGUCCCUAAAGCAGCCCUCUUGGGCUGGGCGUGGCGGGGGAGUGCACAGGGCAGACUGGAGAACCACGCCCUGCUCAACAAAGCAGACAGACAAGUGCUGACAGUGCAGAGGGUGACCAAGCCUGGGAAGGCCCCAGGGGUCCAACACCAAAAUUAAAGGUUUAUUAUACAC